This is a non-coding RNA of Mycena sp. CBHHK59/15, 86 nucleotides long. The record is from the annotation of a GenBank genome assembly. NCBI's taxonomy places the organism in Eukaryota, Fungi, Basidiomycota, Agaricomycetes, Agaricales, Mycenaceae.
GGUUGAUUAGCUCAGUGGUUACCUUCAUGUUCACAGAUUUUCAAGUGUCAUCAGAAGGUCGCAGGUUCAAUUCCUGCAGCCAGCCG